UACAGAGACUGCGAGCGUUAUUCGGAUUCACUGGGCGUAAAGGGUGCGCAGGUGGCCAGGUGUGUCAGGUGUGAAAUCCCGGGGCUUAACUCCGGAACUGCGCCUGAAACUGCUUGGCUAGAGCAUUGGAGAGGGUAGUGGAAUUCACGGUGUAGCAGUGAAAUGCGUAGAUAUCGUGAGGAACACCAGAGGCGAAGGCGACUACCUGGACAAUAGCUGACACUCAGGCACGAAAGCGUGGGGAGCCAAAGGG
This 253-nucleotide unclassified non-coding RNA is filed under the name uncultured Verrucomicrobiota bacterium. RNAcentral describes it as "uncultured Verrucomicrobia bacterium contains 16S-23S intergenic spacer region". It matches the Rfam family "Bacterial small subunit ribosomal RNA", at positions 524 to 776 of the family's 1533-position model. The record is from RNAcentral. Lineage: Bacteria; Pseudomonadati; Verrucomicrobiota.